RNAcentral lists this unclassified non-coding RNA (253 nucleotides) under uncultured Bacillaceae bacterium. RNAcentral describes it as "contains 16S-23S intergenic spacer region". It matches the Rfam family "Bacterial small subunit ribosomal RNA", at positions 524 to 776 of the family's 1533-position model. The record is from RNAcentral. Lineage: Bacteria; Bacillati; Bacillota; Bacilli; Caryophanales; Bacillaceae.
UACGUAGGGCGCAAGCGUUGUCCGAAAUUAUUGGGCGGAAAGGGCACGCAGGCGGAGCCUUAAGUCUGAUGUGAAAGCCCGCGGCUCAACCACUGAGGGCCAUGGGAAACUGGGGAACUUGAGAACUGAAGAGGAGAGUGGAAUUCCACGUGUAGCGGUGAAAUGCGUAGAGAUCGGGAGGAAUACCAGUGGCGAAGGCGGCCUUCUGGACUGAUACUGACACUGAGGUGCGAAAGCGUGGGUAGCAAACAGG